AUAGGUGGCGAGCGUUAUCCGGAAUUAUUGGGCGUAAAGGGUGCGCAGGCGGUUUGAAAAGUUUAAGGUGAAAGCGUGGGGCUUAACCCCAUACAGCCUUAGAAACUGUCAGACUAGAGUACAGGAGAGGGCAAUGGAAUUCCAUGUGUAGCGGUAAAAUGCGUAGAUAUAUGGAGGAACACCAGUGGCGUAGGCGGUUGCCUGGCCUGUAACUGACGCUCAUGCACGAAAGCGUGGGGAGCAAAUAGGAUUAGAUACCCUAGUAGUCCACGCCGUAAACGAUGAGAACUAAGUGUUGGGGAAACUCAGUGCUGCAGUUAACGCAAUAAGUUCUCCGCCUGGGGAGUAUGCACGCAAGUGUG
Molecule: ribosomal RNA, 362 nt
Filed under: uncultured bacterium
Lineage: Bacteria
Description: bacterial SSU rRNA
Rfam family: Bacterial small subunit ribosomal RNA
Source: RNAcentral